UCCGAUGAAGUGAGCUGUAGCUCACGAAAGCUUAUGCUCAAAUAAAUUUGUUAGUCUCUAAGGUGCCACAAGUACUCCUUUUCUUGUUGGAAGAUAGGAAGUAUUGGUCCUGAUUCUGAUUUCAUGUAUACCAUUGUUAACCACAAGUAACUCCACUAAACUGGUGAGAGAUCAGAAUCAGGUCCAUUGUUUCUCAAGAGCUCAGCCUGCUCCAAAAGCUACUGUAGGUAAUAGUAAAACCCUGUAGAAUUUCAAUAAGUAUUACAAUGAAGAUGCAAGACUAUAGUACAUGAUUGCCAAAAAUCAGGACAUGAA
Long non-coding RNA from Dermochelys coriacea (leatherback sea turtle), 315 nucleotides. RefSeq lists it as uncharacterized. The transcript is spliced from 3 exons. Lineage: Eukaryota; Metazoa; Chordata; Testudines; Dermochelyidae. The record is from RefSeq and is a predicted model, not a curated record.